This 718-nucleotide ribosomal RNA is filed under the name Pantoea sp. LL53. RNAcentral describes it as "partial 16S ribosomal RNA". It matches the Rfam family "Bacterial small subunit ribosomal RNA", at positions 37 to 747 of the family's 1533-position model. The record is from RNAcentral. Lineage: Bacteria; Pseudomonadati; Pseudomonadota; Gammaproteobacteria; Enterobacterales; Erwiniaceae.
GGGAUGGCGGCAGCUACCAUGCAGUCGGACGGUAGCACAGAGAACUUGGUCCCGUGUGAGAAGUGUGGGACGGGUGAGUAAUGUGUGGGGAUCUGCCCCAUAUAGGGGGAGAACCCCUGUGAACGGUGGCUAAUACCCCAUAACGUCUCAAGACCAAAAAGGGGGACCUUCUGGCCUCUCUCUAUCUCAUGAGCCCCCAUGGGAUUAUCUAUUAUGCGGGGUAAUGGGCCCCCUAUGCGACAAUCCCCAUCUGGGCUGAGAGGAUGACCCCCCCCACUGUAACUGAGACACGGUCCCCACUCCCACAGGAGGCGCCACUGGGGAAUAUUGUGCAAUGUGCGCAAGCCUGAUGCGCCCCUGCCCCGUGUAUAAAAAAAGCCUUCUCGUUGUAAAGUACUUUCUCCGCGGAGAAAAGCGACAGGGUUAAUAACCCCGUCUAUUGAGGUUUCCCCCACAAAAAACACCGGCUAUAUCCCUGCCCCCACCCGCGGUAAUACAGAGGGUGUGCGCGUUUUUCUCAAUUAUUGUGCGUAAAGCGCACACACGCGGUCUGUUAAAUCUCAUAUGAAAUCUCCGGGCUCAACCUGUGAACUGCGUUUUAAACUGUGACGCUUGAGUCUCGUGUAGAGGGGUAUAAAUCUACGUGUGUCGCUGAAAUGCGUAUAGAUCUGGAGAAAUACCGGUGUCGAAAGCGCCCCCCUGUGCAAAGACAGACACU